GACGAACGCUGGCGGCGUGCUUAACACAUGCAAGUCGAACGGAAAGGCCCUGCUUUUGUGGGGUGCUCGAGUGGCGAACGGGUGAGUAACACGUGAGUAACCUGCCCUUGACUUUGGGAUAACUUCAGGAAACUGGGGCUAAUACCGGAUAGGAGCUCCUGCUGCAUGGUGGGGGUUGGAAAGUUUCGGCGGGUGGGGAUGGACUCGCGGCUUAUCAGCUUGUUGGUGGGGUAGUGGCUUACCAAGGCUUUGACGGGUAGCCGGCCUGAGAGGGUGACCGGCCACCUUGGGACUGCGGUACGGCCCAGACUCCUACGGGAGGCAGCAGUGGGGAAUAUUGCACAAUGGGCGGAAGCCUGAUGCAGCAACGCCGCGUGCGGGAUGACGGCCUUCGGGUUGUAAACCGCUUUCGCCUGUGACGAAGCGUGAGUGACGGUAAUGGGUAAAGAAGCACCGGCUAACUACGUG
This 468-nucleotide ribosomal RNA is filed under the name uncultured bacterium. Its description in RNAcentral is "partial 16S ribosomal RNA". It matches the Rfam family "Bacterial small subunit ribosomal RNA", at positions 28 to 507 of the family's 1533-position model. The record is from RNAcentral.